This 497-nucleotide ribosomal RNA is filed under the name uncultured bacterium. Its description in RNAcentral is "partial 16S ribosomal RNA". It matches the Rfam family "Bacterial small subunit ribosomal RNA", at positions 28 to 507 of the family's 1533-position model. The record is from RNAcentral.
GAUGAACGCUGGCGGCGUGCCUAAUACAUGCAAGUCGAGCGAACAGACGAGGAGCUUGCUCCUCUGACGUUAGCGGCGGACGGGUGAGUAACACGUGGAUAACCUACCUAUAAGACUGGGAUAACUUCGGGAAACCGGAGCUAAUACCGGAUAAUAUAUUGAACCGCAUGGUUCAAUAGUGAAAGACGGUUUUGCUGUCACUUAUAGAUGGAUCCGCGCCGCAUUAGCUAGUUGGUAAGGUAACGGCCUACCAAGGCAACGAUGCGUAGCCGACCUGAGAGGGUGAUCGGCCACACUGGAACUGAGACACGGUCCAGACUCCUACGGGAGGCAGCAGUAGGGAAUCUUCCGCAAUGGGCGAAAGCCUGACGGAGCAACGCCGCGUGAGUGAUGAAGGUCUUCGGAUCGUAAAACUCUGUUAUUAGGGAAGAACAAAUGUGUAAGUAACUAUGCACGUCUUGACGGUACCUAAACAGAAAGCCACGGCUAACUACGUG